Molecule: small RNA, 28 nt
Filed under: Bombyx mori (domestic silkworm)
Lineage: Eukaryota; Metazoa; Arthropoda; Insecta; Lepidoptera; Bombycidae
Description: ovarian small RNA-20784
Source: RNAcentral
UACCGUCUUCAGUGUAAAAUUUAAUGGC